GGGAUUGCCUCAGUAACGGCGAGUGAAGCGGCAACAGCUCAAAUUUGAAAUCUGGCUCCUCCGGGGUCCGAGUUGUAAUUUGUAGAGAGUGCUUCGGGUGAGACCACGGUCUAAGUCUAUUGGAACAUUACGUCAUAGAGGGUGAGAACCCCGUAUGUGACUGUGGCUCGAGCCCAUGUGAAGCCUCUUCGACGAGUCGAGUUGUUUGGGAAUGCAGCUCAAAAUGGGUGGUAAAUUUCAUCUAAAGCUAAAUACUGGCUGGAGACCGAUAGCGCACAAGUAGAGUGAUCGAAAGAUGAAAAGCACUUUGGAAAGAGAGUCAAACAGUACGUGAAAUUGUUGAAAGGGAAGCGCUGGCAACCAGACCUGUCCGUAGGCGAUCAGCCGCUGUUCUCAGUGGUGCACUCGUUCUGCGAUCAGGCCAGCAUCGGUUUCGGCGGUCGGAUAAAGGCCUGGGGAACGUAGCUCCCUUUCGGGGGAGUGUUAUAGACCCGGGCGCAAUGCGGCCAGCCGGGACCGAGGACCGCGCUUCGGCUAGGAUGCUGGCGUAAUGGUUGUCAGCGACCCGUCUUGAAACACGGACCAAGGAGUCUAACAUCUAUGCGAGUGUUUGGGUGUCAAACCCAUGCGCGGAAUGAAAGUGAACGGAGGUGAGAACCCUUUAGGGCGCAUCAUCGACCGAUCCAGAUGUCUUCGGAUGGAUUUGAGUAUGAGCAUAGCUGUUGGGACCCGAAAGAUGGUGAACUAUGCCCUGAAUAGGGUGAAAGCCAGGAGGAAACUCUGGUGGAAGGCUCGCACGGUUUCUGACGUUGCAAAAUCGAUCGUCAAAUUUGGGUAUAGGGGGUAAGCCUUAAUAUUCUGUUGGAAGACGCCC
Molecule: ribosomal RNA, 874 nt
Filed under: Hypotrachyna sorocheila
Lineage: Eukaryota; Fungi; Ascomycota; Lecanoromycetes; Lecanorales; Parmeliaceae
Description: eukaryotic LSU rRNA
Rfam family: Eukaryotic large subunit ribosomal RNA
Source: RNAcentral